AAGUCGGCAAGCCGCAAGCGGCAAGGGAAGGAACGGUUCAAGAAAAGACAUAAUUUGACGAGCGCCCAGUUGUUUUAGGAGAUCGUACUUGUGAAGUAACCUUAUUCAUGAUUCCAUGCAUGUUUUUGUGUCACGAUAUAACCCUCGUUUUGACCAGUAAGAGUUCGUUACAUGACUGGAAUGACGAGUUUGAUGUUCAUUGUUCUGGUCAGAGGCCUCAUAUUGUGCUCAAAAUGUCACUCCGGACCAUUAUUCUUUAGCGAGAGAGCAAUUAAAUGUGAGUGAAACUCGGGUUAGCUGGUUUUUAUACAUAUAGUGCGGAAAUUGCUUGCAGCUGGCAUCGAUGUUCCCAAAACGACAAAAGCUGAGAAAAUCCAAAGGGAUGCAGUAUUUCAGUAUCAAUACUAAUACACAGAUUGCAACAGCUAUAAUCUGCAGUACUGUUUGGGAGACCCUCAGAAGAUAAACAGCUUGUUGUCAACAUUAAAUUUAUUAUCAAUACAUGAAAGAAUUUUGAAGGUGUUCUAUGCUGAAAAAUCAAAGAACUACAGGUAUUUGUGUGUGCUGAUUGGUAAGGUUUUAUGAAGAGGAGUCUGGCAGAGACCAUGACAUUUUCUCAUCUAAAGCUGAUCUAUAGCUAUUACAGGGAUGGUGAAAAUAAAUUAAUUUAUGUUUUCUCCCAAAACCAGUGAUGGCAAACCUAGAGUGACUGGAACAUUUAAAGUUCUAAAAGUUGUAUGAAUUUUUUGCUGCCACAUGUAUUUAUCAAUUGUACCUAAACAAGUUGGUCUGUAUUAUGGAUCAUCUACUAGUAUCACACAUACCUAAUGAGAUUACUGUCCAAGUCCUUAUAGUAUCUACAUUUAUAUCACAAGUACUAUUUAUUGUGUCAUUAAAUCUUGAAAUUCAUUUUCAAAGUCUGUAUUGAAUGUUUAUCACUCUGCUUUGAUACAAUUUACUGUCGCUAUCAAUUUUUAACCUCAGCAUUUCAGUGAAAAAAAUUUAUUCUUUUGUGUACAUUUUAAAAUUCUAGACAUAAUUAUAAAUUCACAUUAUUUGCAGAAUUUCAAACCAUUUUCAUUUAUAUACAUCAAUUUUGUACAUUAAGUUACUGUAAAUGUAUUAUAUUUAGCGUGUAUGAUAUUUGGCGGAAAUUGAUUUUUGAACAAGUUAGCAUAGAUAUGAUUUAGCGGAUAACUUAAUGUUCUUAUUAAUGUGUAUAUUUGCAAAAUAUUUAGCAUUGUACUUGAAUUAGCGGAAGUUUCCACAGAAAGCACUAAAAAGAAUACACAGCCAAAUGUAAUAUAUUUACAGUAUGAUAUUCAUUAUUUUUUACUUGAAAAAAAGUAUAAAAAGGGGGAGUUGAAAUAAUUUAAGGGAAAAAUUUGAAUUUUCUAAUGAAUUUAUAAAUAUUUCUCUUUAGAAAUGUUAAUGUUCCAUGGUAACAGCAUGUUGCAAAUGACAUUAUGAACAUAUUUUAUAUCUUUAUAUUUUAUAUUUACAAAAUGACCGUUUUGUCACCUGUUAAAUUAUUUUUCU
This is a long non-coding RNA of Saccostrea cuccullata (small rock oyster), 1539 nucleotides long. RefSeq lists it as uncharacterized. The transcript is spliced from 3 exons. Lineage: Eukaryota; Metazoa; Mollusca; Bivalvia; Ostreida; Ostreidae. The record is from RefSeq and is a predicted model, not a curated record.